Molecule: long non-coding RNA, 1720 nt
Organism: Lineus longissimus
Lineage: Eukaryota; Metazoa; Nemertea; Pilidiophora; Heteronemertea; Lineidae
Exons: 2
Source: RefSeq, a predicted model, not a curated record
GCUGGCAAAGACAAUCAUGAACAUACAGUAUACAUCGGUGUACCAAAAAAUUUGCCUUCACUUUGGGGUUGAGAAUGCUCUUGGUUCAAUUAGCCCCGCGUUAUUUUGUCUGUACUAUAGUGUUUGUAAUUUUGCUGGCUUUCUAUCGUGGGAAACCAGGGCAGGAUCUUCUGUCGCCUUGAUGUGAUAUCCUAAUUGUCCAACUUCAUCUUGGGGAAUCCCAGAUUUAAUUUGCAUUAUAGUGUUUUUGAUCACUUUCGGAGUAUCGCGCAAAAGGCAGCGAGUAGUGACUUGGUCGCUGGCUUAACUCUUGGAGCCGUUUUUCUCUCGCCUCAUUCGAACCGAACUAAAUAUGCCUCUAACUGUUCACCAGUGCUGUAUCAUUUAUGGAGUUAUCUGUGGAAUUGUCCUGGCAUACGUGAUCAUCCCUUUCGUUCUUUGGACGGGUGGUUUCGGGAGCACUAUCUCCAAGGGCUCGUUGGCCGCACGCUGGCAAUCGGCGAUCGGAGGCGGGUCAGUCUUCCGCCUGUUGCAGAGGACUGGUGCCAAAGGCUUAGGGAUCUGGGGAGCGUUGUUCAUUAUGGCAGCAUCUACAGCUUUACUGUUGUUUAAAAGUCUUCGGGAGAAUUAGACUGACAUGGACAUGUACAUUAUACUUCAACAAAAGCUUUGGUCAUCGAUAGGCCGUGCCAGACAGAACUCUCAUUCCAAACUGGAACAACCGUUAAUAUCAUAAAGAUAAGAAUGCUAUUCACAGAGAGGAUAUUACAUAUAGACUUCAUUGUACAUUGAGCCAUAAGAAAUUUUUUUGACAAUCGACAAAUUGGACAGACAUUGAUAUUUCCACCCUUUUCAGCCAACUGGCAGAAAAAUCUCAAAACACGCCCCCUAUUGCCCAAUUAUAUAAAUUCAAAAUUAAUAUUUUCAUCAAAUAAUUUCUUUAUAUCUGUAGACUUGCCACAGCAAAUAUUUUUUCAAUACCUCCAAAUACAUGUAUGUACUUGAUAGUUAAAAACAUGCACGCGUCUAAUUGAUAGGUCUGGAACCUCCAACCUAUGAAUAUUCAAUGGUGGUAUUGUCUCAGUUGUACCUAUUUAGUAGGAAUAAGACAUCACGGAUGUAUAGCAGAAAAAUAUGAAGAGUUUAAAUUCAAAACGCACCAAAAUGCCAUUUUUACCAUUUUGAGUAUGUCAACUGUGGGUAAUAAUGGAGAACGCAUGUCAGUUUUAUUCUACUUCUGGUAUAUGGAACGUUUUGAGUAUGUUAACUGUGGGUAAUAAUGGAGAACGCAUGUCAUUUUUAUUUUACUUCUGGUAUAUGGAACGUUUUGAGUAUGUUAACUGUGGGUAAUAAUGGAGAACGCAUGUCAUUUUUAUUCUACUUCUGGUAUAUGGAACGUUUUGAGUAUGUUAACUGUGGGUAAUAAUGGAGAACGCAUGUCAUUUUUAUUCUACUUCUGGUAUAUGGAACGUUUUGAGUAUGUUAACUGUGGGUAAUAAUGGAGAACGCAUGUCAUUUUUAUUUUACUUCUGGUAUAUGGAACUUUUUGCAUUUUUAGCUCUUCAACCAACCAUAUAAAUUCAUGUAUCGUGACAAAAAUAUCUAACCACUAAUAUUUUAACAAAUAGUACAGCACGAAGUACCAAUUUCUGACAAUACGCGUGUACAUGUAUAUGACUAUUGAUGAAUAAAAUCCCUCCUAUUUGACGGCUUGAUAUUA